RNAcentral lists this ribosomal RNA (473 nucleotides) under uncultured bacterium. Its description in RNAcentral is "bacterial SSU rRNA". It matches the Rfam family "Bacterial small subunit ribosomal RNA", at positions 64 to 507 of the family's 1533-position model. The record is from RNAcentral.
GAACGAAUCCCGACCUCUCACCCUUGCCCUCUCCCUCCGGGAGAGGGUGGGGUGAGGGGCCGGGGGAAGUGGCGAAAGGGGCAGUAAGGCAUGGAUAACCUACCUCGGGGAUCGGGAUAGCCUUCCUAACGGAAGGGUAAUACCGGGCGAGCUAACGAAGGGGCAUCUCUUUGUUAGGAAAUGAAUUUCGCCUUGAGAGGGGUUCAUGUAGUAUUAGCUUGUUGGUGGGGUAACGGCUCACCAAGGCCAAGAUGCUUAGCGGGUGUGAGAGCACGACCCGCGCCACUGGCACUGAGACACUGGCCAGACUCCUACGGGAGGCUGCAGUCGAGGAUCUUCGGCAAUGGGCGCAAGCCUGACCGAGCGACGCCGCGUGUGCGAUGAAGGCCUUCGGGUUGUAAAGCACUGUCGAGGGGGAGAAAAGCCCGCAAGGGUCUGAUCUAUCCCUGGAGGAAGCACGGGCUAAGUUCGUG